UAAAUCUUAUGCUUAGCCCUGAAGCCACAAAUCCUGAAAGCAAAUCCCAUACCCAGGAUCCACAGUAUGGACCUGAGUCCAUCUGGCCCAACCCUGCUGGAGAAAGGACAGCCAGAGCAGGGUGCCCAGCUUCAGUCCAGGUGGCUUUUGGAGAUCUCCAAGUAGGAGAUUCCAGAAUGUCUCUGGGCAACUGUUCUGUUGCUCAGUACUCCAUCCCUCUUUACCUGGGGUACCUCUAGUUUUGCACCAUGCGCCUUUGCAGUAGCAGCAGAGGGACAAGAGGGGCUGUGACUCCUAUCUCAGGAGCAUGAUGAGGACCACAGCCCUUCCUGCUUAUAGCAAGGCCAUCUUCUGCCCUUUCCUGCUUGAGUCACAGCAGGCUGAUCUUUGGAGAUGGCCCUGAUGUCCUUCCAGGAUUUAUCCUAGCUGAGGGCUUCAUAAACAUCAGCUGUUAGCUCCCAAAGAAGCCAAGCCGAGUAAUCUCUCUCCCCUUCUGCUGCCUUCCCCCUCCAUGUUGUGAUCUGAUUGAUAAACCAGCAAUAUACAAGGCUGGCUUGGUUUGCAAAUGGAGACACCAGGAAUGGGUUGUAGAGGGAUGCUAUCGGCGUUGAUCCAGGGAGGACUUUCUGGUCCGGUGAGCCUGGGAAGCCUGAAAUGACUCUUCAUAAACAGGUCUGUAAAGUUCAGGAGAAAAAUGGACUUUCCCCUGCAUCAGAAACUUGGAUGUAAGGUCAGACUGCAAUGAAGACACAGAAGUGAACCUGACUCAGGAAAAAAGUAAAUGCAACUGAUUUGGAGUCCUUGAGUCAGGUUAAUUUGAUGUGCAAUUCUCUUGAAAAUCCUCUUGAGCACAGCCAGGUUUUGGCUUUUGAAGGCAAAAGACCCCAGUUCAACAUUCUCCAUUUUGCAUCCAAAGAGGAAAGGAAAUCCAUCUUCAUGUGCAGGAGAACAUGGACACCACAUCAGUGGAUUGGAAUAAAUACCAGCAUAAGCUCUCUGGUGAUCUCAAAGCUCACACGGUCUCUUUUCUCUCUUAUUCCACCAACUCACUAUAAAUGCUGUGUUUU
This is a non-coding RNA of Meleagris gallopavo (turkey), 1067 nucleotides long. Lineage: Eukaryota; Metazoa; Chordata; Aves; Galliformes; Phasianidae. The record is from RefSeq and is a predicted model, not a curated record.